RNAcentral lists this non-coding RNA (229 nucleotides) under Bacteroidetes bacterium RBG_13_42_15. Its description in RNAcentral is "partial RNase P RNA component class A". It matches the Rfam family "Bacterial RNase P class A", at positions 159 to 367 of the family's 367-position model. Rfam says of the family: Ribonuclease P (RNase P) is a ubiquitous endoribonuclease, found in archaea, bacteria and eukarya as well as chloroplasts and mitochondria. Its best characterised activity is the generation of mature 5'-ends of tRNAs by cleaving the 5'-leader elements of precursor-tRNAs. Lineage: Bacteria; Pseudomonadati; Bacteroidota. The record is from RNAcentral.
AAGGCGGGGUAAAAGCUCACCGGUCCUGAUGGUGACACCAGGAGCCGUACACCUGAUGGGUUGAAAGACCAUGUAUACCGACGUUCAGGAUUGCUCGUCCGAUGCCGGGGGGUAGGUCGUACGAUCCCGCCAGCAAUGGCGGGACAAGAUAAAUGAUGGAAACCGGUUCAAUUAUCUCUUGCAGAUGCAUGAACCGGGACAGAAUCCGGCUUACAGGCCGGCUGCAAAA